CCCUUAGAUGUUCUGGGCCGCACGCGCGCUACACUGACGAAUGCAACGAGCUUAUAACCUUGGCCGAAAGGUCUGGGUAAUCUCCAAAUUUCGUCGUGAUGGGGAUAGAUUAUUGCAAUUAUUAAUCUUCAACGAGGAAUGCCUAGUAAGCGCAAGUCAUCAGCUUGCGUUGAUUACGUCCCUGCCCUUUGUACACACCGCCCGUCGCUCCUACCGAUUGAAUGGUCCGGUGAAGCGUUCGGACCGUGGCUUUUGGACGGUUCGCCGUCUGUUGGCUGCGGGAAGUUCGUUAAACCUUAUCAUUUAGAGGAAGGAGAAGUCGUAACA
RNAcentral lists this ribosomal RNA (327 nucleotides) under uncultured eukaryote. RNAcentral describes it as "partial 18S ribosomal RNA". It matches the Rfam family "Eukaryotic small subunit ribosomal RNA", at positions 1470 to 1796 of the family's 1831-position model. The record is from RNAcentral.